AGCGACGUUUUGCAUCGCCGCGACUGAAAAUCCGCGUGUCGGUGGUUCGAUUCCGCCCCUGGCCACCA
RNAcentral lists this transfer RNA (68 nucleotides) under Gammaproteobacteria bacterium. RNAcentral's name for it is "tRNA-Phe". The record is from RNAcentral. Lineage: Bacteria; Pseudomonadati; Pseudomonadota; Gammaproteobacteria.